RNAcentral lists this ribosomal RNA (496 nucleotides) under uncultured bacterium. Its description in RNAcentral is "partial 16S ribosomal RNA". It matches the Rfam family "Bacterial small subunit ribosomal RNA", at positions 29 to 507 of the family's 1533-position model. The record is from RNAcentral.
AUGAACGCUGGCGGCGUGCCUAAUACAUGCAAGUCGAGCGCACAGACGAGGAGCUUGCUCCUCUGACGUUAGCGGCGGACGGGUGAGUAACACGUGGAUAACCUACCUAUAAGACUGGGAUAACUUCGGGAAACCGGAGCUAAUACCGGAUAAUAUAUUGAACCGCAUGGUUCAAUAGUGAAAGACGGUUUUGCUGUCACUUAUAGAUGGAUCCGCGCCGCAUUAGCUAGUUGGUAAGGUAACGGCUUAACAAGGCAACGAUGCGUAGCCGACCUGAGAGGGUGAUCGGCCACACUGGAACUGAGACACGGUCCAGACUCCUACGGGAGGCAGCAGUAGGGAAUCUUCCGCAAUGGGCGAAAGCUUGACGGAGCAACGCCGCGUGAGUGAUGAAGGUCUUCGGAUCGUAAAACUCUGUUAUUAGGGAAGAACAAAUGUGUAAGUAACUAUGCACGUCUUGACGGUACCUAAUCAGAAAGCCACGGCUAACUACGUG